AGCGAACGCUGGCGGCGUACCUAACACAUGCAAGUCGAACGGGGGUCAUCGGGUUAGCAAUAGUUCGGUGGUCCUAGUGGCGCACGGGUGAGUACAACGUAGGUAACCUACCCUCGAGACCGGGAUAACCUGUCGAAAGACGGGCUAAUACCGGAUAAGACCACAAGGGCUGCGGCCUUUGAGGUAAAAGAUGGCCUCUGCUUGCAAGCUAUCACUUGGGGAUGGGCCUGCGCGCCAUAGCUAGUUGGUGAGGUAACGGCUCACCAAGGCAAGGAUGGCUAGCUGGUCUGAGAGGAUGGCCAGCCACACUGGGACUGAGACACGGCCCAGACUCCUACGGGAGCAGCAGUGGGAAUAUUGCGCAAGU
This 367-nucleotide ribosomal RNA is filed under the name uncultured bacterium. RNAcentral describes it as "bacterial SSU rRNA". It matches the Rfam family "Bacterial small subunit ribosomal RNA", at positions 29 to 373 of the family's 1533-position model. The record is from RNAcentral.